UUUUGGAGAAACAGAUGAUGAUUUUGGAGAAAAGAUGAAUUUUCGAGUUCGUUUGUUGUAUAAAGAUGAAUCUGAGCCUUGCAUUGGGAUAAGGAAGAUCAUAGAUGAAGAAGAGGCCACUUGCUCCUCUUCUAAGAAACAAAGGCAACUCUUUCCCACAAGCUCGGGAUUAUAGCUUUAAAUAUAGGUGAUGUACGUAUCAGUAAUCAGCAGCGAGAUUGGGGACACUGCCUAUGAAGGGAACAUGUACGUACAAUUUGGGUUGGCAAAAAUUCAUUCUUUUUAUAUUUCAUUUCGAAACAGAAUCACAUUUUCCAUUUCCUGACAAAUAGAUAAAUUGCAGAAGCUUUGGAAUCCAAUGGAGCUCAAAUAAUUUCUCCCCAACCAUCAAGUUCUACUGAAGUUGCAUAGUCUCCGUUAAUAUCUAUUGUAAAAUGUACUAACAUUCUUUUUCUUUUUUAACAAGUGCAAGAAACACAUUUUAUUAAUUAAUCAUCUCUGAAAUUUAUGUAAUCUAAGAAAAGAAACACUGCUAGACCAUUGGAUGUAAAUCCCCCUAUUAAUAUUCUCAUUUCUUGUUCAAUGUAUUGCCAAUGUCUAGCACGAAAUGAUAUUUCACAUCCGAUUUCAGAAGACGUUCCAAUGCUGUGUUCACAUAGUCCAUUGGCACAACUUCAAUAUCUGGUGUUAUGUUAUGCUUUGCCGCGAAAUCCAACAUUUCUUGUGUCUCUUUCAUCCCUCCUAUACAACUUCCAUCCACUAGUUUCCUUCCACAUUAUAUAUACAAACUUUAGUCUAAGAAAAAAGACAGUCCGGUGCACUAAGCUUUCAUCUGAACUUUUUUGUUUGAAAUCAUGCAUAAAGAAAACUAUACAUGCUUACCCAUAAGUAGUGGAAACACGGGCAACUCAACCGGUUUCUUUGGUGUACCAACCAUGACAAGAUUUCAAUAACAUAAACAAUGGAAGAAUUCAAAUGUAGUCUCUAUUGAUGCAUGGCUACUGUCAAAUUUACACAGUAGUGUAUGAUCGCUGAAGUAUUGAUCAUGCUUAAGAAGGCUUGUUCAUCUUGGAUGUUAUUGCCAACAAAUUUUAAUCCAAGAAGGCUUGUUCAUCUUGAUCUCCGAUGGAGUUCAUUGCAUUAUUUAAGUUGCAACAAUUUCUGUCUCUACGAAGGAUAGAUCUAAGUCACUCCAAAAGCCUGAAGAGAACAUCAGAUUUCAAGGGGAUGCCAAAUUUGGAGUAUUUGAAUCUAGGUCAAUGUACGAGUCUUGAAGAGGUUCAUCCUUCCCUCAAGUAUUGCAAAAAACUCAUCCAGUUACAUUUGUUUGAGUGUAGAAGCCUUGAGAGGUUUCCAUAUGUUAAUGUGGAAUCUCUUGAGUAUUUGAAUCUAAAUUACUGCG
Molecule: long non-coding RNA, 1402 nt
Organism: Solanum stenotomum
Lineage: Eukaryota; Viridiplantae; Streptophyta; Magnoliopsida; Solanales; Solanaceae
Exons: 3
Source: RefSeq, a predicted model, not a curated record